Molecule: ribosomal RNA, 402 nt
Filed under: uncultured Oscillospiraceae bacterium
Lineage: Bacteria; Bacillati; Bacillota; Clostridia; Eubacteriales; Oscillospiraceae
Description: bacterial SSU rRNA
Rfam family: Bacterial small subunit ribosomal RNA
Source: RNAcentral
UGGGGAAUAUUGCACAAUGGGGGAAACCCUGAUGCAGCGACGCCGCGUGAAGGAAGAAGGCCUUCGGGUUGUAAACUUCUGUCGUAAGGGACGAUAAUGACGGUACCUUACAAGAAAGCCACGGCUAACUACGUGCCAGCAGCCGCGGUAAAACGUAGGUGGCAAGCGUUGUCCGGAAUUACUGGGUGUAAAGGGAGCGCAGGCGGGUUUGCAAGUUGGAAGUGAAAACCAUGGGCUCAACCUAUGGACUGCUUUCAAAACUGCAGAUCUUGAGUGGUGUAGAGGUAGGCGGAAUUCCCGGUGUAGCGGUGGAAUGCGUAGAUAUCGGGAGGAACACCAGUGGCGAAGGCGGCCUACUGGGCACUAACUGACGCUGAGGCUCGAAAGCAUGGGUAGCAAACA